RNAcentral lists this transfer RNA (74 nucleotides) under Epinephelus merra (honeycomb grouper). Its description in RNAcentral is "tRNA-Asp". It matches the Rfam family "tRNA". From Rfam's summary of the family: Transfer RNA (tRNA) molecules are approximately 80 nucleotides in length. Their secondary structure includes four short double-helical elements and three loops (D, anti-codon, and T loops). The record is from RNAcentral. Lineage: Eukaryota; Metazoa; Chordata; Actinopteri; Perciformes; Serranidae.
GAGACACUAGUAGAACGCGGCUAGUACAUCGCUUUGUCGAGGCGGAGUUGCAGGUUCAAACCCUGCGUGUCUCA